GGAAGAUCGUCAUCUCCGGUGAGGUGGCUGGACUUCAAAUCCGGUUGGGGCCGCCAGCGGUCCCGGGCAGGUUCAACUCCUGUGAUCUUCCGCCA
RNAcentral lists this transfer RNA (95 nucleotides) under Klebsiella michiganensis. RNAcentral's name for it is "tRNA-seC(tca)". It matches the Rfam family "Selenocysteine transfer RNA". The record is from RNAcentral. Lineage: Bacteria; Pseudomonadati; Pseudomonadota; Gammaproteobacteria; Enterobacterales; Enterobacteriaceae.